UGGGGAAUAUUGGACGAUGGGGGCAACCCUGAUCCAGCCAUGCCGCGUGUGUGAAGAAGGCCUUUUGGUUGUAAAGCACUUUAAAGCAGGGAGGAGAGGGCUAAAUGGUUAAUACCCAUUAGAUUAGACGUUACCUGCAGAAUAAGCACCGGCUAACUCUGUGCCAGCAGCCGCGGUAAUACAGAGGGUGCGAGCGUUAAUCGGAAUUACUGGGCGUAAAGCGAGUGUAGGUGGCUCAUUAAGUCACAUGUGAAAUCCCCGGGCUUAACCUGGGAACUGCAUGUGAUACUGGUGGUGCUAGAAUAUGUGAGAGGGGAAGUAGAAUUCCCAGGUGUAGCGGGUGAAAUGCGUAGAGAUCUGGAGGAAUACCGAUGGCGAAGGCAGCUUCCUGGCAUAAUAUUGACACUGAGAUUCGAAAGCGUGGGUAGCAAACAGGAUUAGAUACCCUGGUAGUCCACGCCGUAAAACGAUGUCUACUAGCCGUGGGGUCCUUGAGACUUUAGUGGCGCAGUUAACGCGAUAAGUAGACCGCCUGGGGAG
RNAcentral lists this ribosomal RNA (540 nucleotides) under uncultured bacterium. Its description in RNAcentral is "partial 16S ribosomal RNA". It matches the Rfam family "Bacterial small subunit ribosomal RNA", at positions 355 to 880 of the family's 1533-position model. The record is from RNAcentral.